UUCCGUAGGUGACCUGUGGAGGAUCAUUGUCGAGGCCCGUCGAGCAGCGAGACCUAUGAACCAAUGACCCUGACGAGGCGCGCAUGGCUCGGGGGGCACGGCGCCGCCCGCUCUCCCGGGGGACCACGCGGCGAACCUCCCCCAGUGCGAUGAGCAAUAAGAAACUGAGAUGGAAUGAGCGCGGCUCCCUCCGGGGACGCUGGCGCACGUUCAAAACUUACACGACUCUCGGCAAUGAAUAUCUUGGCUCUCGCAUCGAUGAAAAACGUAGCGAAAUGCAAUACUUGGUGUGAAUUGCAGAAUCCCGUGAACCAUUAAGUCUUUGAACACAAGUUGCGCCCAAGGCCACCUGGUAGAGGGCACUCCUGCUUGGGCGUCACGUACCGUGCUGCCCCACCCGGCGCUUGCCCCAUUUGGUAGCGGCGCCGCAGGGCGGAGACUGGCCGCCUAUUCGCCCCGCGCGCACGGACUC
Molecule: unclassified non-coding RNA, 472 nt
Filed under: Magnolia figo
Lineage: Eukaryota; Viridiplantae; Streptophyta; Magnoliopsida; Magnoliales; Magnoliaceae
Description: partial contains internal transcribed spacer 1, 5.8S ribosomal RNA, and internal transcribed spacer 2
Rfam family: 5.8S ribosomal RNA (bases 224-379)
Source: RNAcentral